RNA transcript from Bubalus bubalis (water buffalo), 3810 nucleotides. It is a transcript of the gene named cytochrome c oxidase assembly protein COX20, mitochondrial, with no coding region annotated. Lineage: Eukaryota; Metazoa; Chordata; Mammalia; Artiodactyla; Bovidae. The record is from RefSeq and is a predicted model, not a curated record. The transcript is spliced from 2 exons.
GGGCGGGGCAGCGGCGCUGACAGUCCCCAUGGCGGCUGCGCCGGAGCCCGGGGAACCCGGGAAGGGGAAGCAGGUGAACCUUAAGUUUGCAGACUACUUAGGACUUCCCUGGUGGCUCAGAUGGUAAAGCAUCUGCCAACAAUGUGGGAGACCCAGGUUCGAUCCCUGGGUUGGGAAGAUCCUCUGGAGAAGGAAAUGGCAUGGACGGAGGAACAUGGUAGGCUACAGUCCAUGGGGUUGUCAAGAGUCGGACAUGACUGACUUCACUUCACUAGGAAGUAAGAGGAAUGCUAAAUGCCUUGAACAUUACAAGUAGAACUACUUCAGAAGGACUUCAGGCUUCGAUUCCUUCAAUUUCUGAGACUCACAGUUCAGAUACUAUCAUAUUGUAUAAACUCAAGACUUUUAUUACAGUAUUCUAUAUUUGCUUUUAAGCCAUCACUAGUCUUUCAGAUUUAUCAGGAGGCUGUGACAAUUCUCUUACUAGGAAAGGGGAAAAAAAAAUCUUCGUAUAUCCUUAGCCAGUUUUGAGUCAGGGUGGCAUUAGUGGUCAAGAACCCGCCUGCAGGUAGACCUAAGAAAAUUCCCUGGAGAGCACGGCACGGCACCCCACCCAACUCUGGUAUUCUUGCCUGGAGAAUCCCAUGGAGAAGUCUGGCAGGCUGCGGUCCAUGCGACUGACGUGAUUAAACACACAUGCAGAUCUACAGUUAUGUCCUUAGUUCUGUUAAUCCUUCUAUGUGAACCUUGAAAGGGUUAAAUGCUCCAAUGAAAAUGACAGGCUUUCAGGGUCAGACUGACUUCCACUCUGCCACCACUUAUGAGGCUUCUACUUAAACCCUGAGCUUGUUUCAGAAAUGUCACAAAGGCUGAGAGAAUUAAAAACGAGGAGUAGAGCUUGGUGCCCAUGACCCCUUAGCGCCUCUGGGUAAGUGCACCAGCACUGGCUUCUCAACCUUGGCGCUGCUGACCCCCACCGAGGCCGUUUUUGUUGGAGGUGAUACAUGUUUAGCAGGACCAUCUUUGGCAUCUGAAACCAUGUAUUGGUUUUAGAAGGUAACACUUAACAAGAUGUUUAUCUUUCAAAGCAAGCUGGAUUAUUCUACAAUUUGCAAUUUCAAAAAUUUACUUAAGUCUCCAAAGCAGUGUUUCUCCCAAUCUGGUGGUUUGGGGUGGGGGUGUGGUCAGUUUCCUAAACAUAAAUGCCCAUGAGUCAGAGUCUAAGGGUGGGACUCGAAAAUCUCUGAAAAAGCUCAGGCAGUUACCUAGUUGACUUAAAUAGCACCCUUUCAGAUGUCCAGCAAGUUUACACACCUGGCAAAGAACUGCACUUGAUCAUUUUAUCCAAGUGCCCCCCUCACCAAAAGCUGGCACAUUCUGGUGUAUCCUGGGGUUACACUAGACUCCAUAAUGGAGGAGAAUCCAAAUGAAAAGGUCCAGAUGCCUUGAUAGAGCUUGUGCUGUCUUGGUGGGAAUAAGCAGUGUCUGGCAUGCUGUGGCUAACACUUAAUGGUUCCUUUCAUUCUCUGCUUAAAUGGGAAAGCCAUCUUAACCUUCUCCUGUGAUAGAAGCUGCUGGUCUCACUUCCAAGACAUUAAAAACCACCACCCCCAACCUCAGUCUUUCUAGCACCCUUUUCCCACCCAGGGCAAUGGCCUACCUUCAGAACAGUUCACACCCUCCCCUCUGGGCCCAUAAAUGCCACUGGGCUCUUGACCUGAAGGUAAGGAACAAUCUUCUUUUUGUUGCUAAAUUAAAUGAAAAGUUAAAUCCCAACCUCUUGUAUACAAAGAUUUGUACUGAAGAACCUGCCACUGGGGUCCACCAACUUUAAGAAGCACCUGCUACAUUCAAACGUGUUGCGGCGGGGGACAGGCAGAGACGAAAGAAAAAAGACAGUUUUCUGAGAGUGUAUAUCUUUUGCUUUAUUAGAAACCAAGUCACAUUGUCUUUUCUGCAGAAGCUUUAGCCAAAGCAAACACAGUCAAUAAUACCUUUAUGUUUCAACCUUGAAUCUAACUUGCCCUUCACUGUCCUUUCCCUAUUCCUUCCAAUCCAGUCUUCUUUUUCCCUUAUAGUGUAUUACCAUCUAGGUAUCAUCUCAUUCCUAAGAAUGGGCAAGUGACUUCCUUUUUAAAAGUUACAUUACUGAAAAAAAAUUUUCCCCCAAAUGAAUAGGAGAGUGCUGCAGCAAAACAUUAAGUGUGACUUUAAAAAAUGUCUGCCCCCCCCAACCCCAAUGUACACAGUGAGAAUGACAAGACAUCAGGUUGAAAAUGUCACUCUUAAAGUGGCAGUGUUUUUCAAAGAGGGAGAACAAAUCCAUAAAUCCAAUGCAGACUGUAUGAAGAAUUUAAAAACCAUUUUAGACUUGAAAGAAAUUAUCACCUAGCCAAACCCCUUCAUUACAGGCUGCAGGCCAAAUAAAAAAAUAUAUCCUACAGGUUACAGAAGUUAGUGGCAGAGCUGAGACUAAAAUCCAACCCUCUUAGAUUUCCACUUUUUUCCAUCACAUCUAGAUGUGGUUACUAUGUACUUCAACAAAUAAAUCAAGUGCAACUUCGUAUCACAGGUAAGGAAACAGACAAGGGACUUGUCAAAAUAUUUAUUAUUAUAAACAAAACUGAAAUGCUGUUACUACUUAACACAGAUAAAAUCUGCAGUCAUCCUUAAAGGAAUUUAAAACAGUAUACUAAAUAUUAUAAGUAACAUGGUUAGAACAAUUUCACUUUCCCAUCUGUUUCUCAAAUUGUAAUUAUGCUGCCAUUUACCUUCAGUGAUAGCCAAAUCCCCAAGAGAUUCCAGAGAGAGAUUCAAAGAGCUCAUGAAAUAAUGUAUGCCCCUAUCUCCAAACCAGCUGAUUAACAAAUUAUGACAUAAGCAUGAUCCCGUAUCUCUUCAGGUUUAAUUUACUACUUAGUACUUUGUGGUCAAAUUCUCAAGGUUUCCAUUUUAGAUUCAUUCAUAUUAGAUACCAAAGCAGGAUGGUUUGUUUUUAAUCUUUGCCAAACCACCCUGAAGUAAAAUAUUCUUUAACGCAAUGUAAUUUUUAAUUUUUCCUAGCCCUUUAAACUCCUAGGAAUUUUAGAUGUUGAAAACAUUCCCUGUGCACGGGAUUCGGUAUUAUAUGGCUCAUUAGGAUCUGUUGUGGCUGGCCUUGGACAUUUUUUGUUAACUAGUGAGUAUAUCUGUUUUUCUUCAUGUAUAAAAAACAUUUCUCCAUGUGUUUACAGUUUUGUUCUAGAUGAAGUAUCACAGUCACGAUUAUAGUGUUUAUGAUUCCUUUCGACAGGCAGAAUUAGAAGAUCAUGUGACGUUGGAGUAGGAGGAUUUAUCGUGGUGACUUUAGGAUGCUGGUAUGAGUGUUAAGUAUUCAAGAAGAUUUUAACAGGUUAAUCUAAUUCCAAAGCACAUGCUAUACUCAGCAAUCUCCCACUGAGAGAUUCCCACCCUUACUUAAGAUUCUCUUACAAAAUGAUAUUGCUGGACUGGCUUUAAUCUUUUAGAUAUCUAUAUAUACACACAUGUGUUUUGUGUCAUUUGUCAAAUGAACAGAUGAAUGUGACAUCAGACACUGCAUUAAUGCCAUGUCAGGGUUUAUACUUCAUUUAGGGAAGCCUCAAUCUUUUAUCCUAAUGCUCACUUCAUCCCUGCCUAUGGUAUAUACCACUGACAGUCAUCUGUAAGCUUUUAAAAAUUUCAAAUUAGUUCCCAUAGGUAUGUUAUAUUGGUAAUUUAUUCACGUUCUCCUUACUAGGUUCCACUGUAGGUAUAAUUAUGCAAAGCUAAGAAUCCAGGAAAGACUUGCCA